This 1476-nucleotide ribosomal RNA is filed under the name uncultured bacterium. RNAcentral describes it as "bacterial SSU rRNA". It matches the Rfam family "Bacterial small subunit ribosomal RNA". The record is from RNAcentral.
AGAGUUUGAUCCUGGCUCAGGACGAACGCUGGCGGCGUGGAUUAGGCAUGCAAGUCGCACGAGAAACAUUCCUUCGGGAAUGCGGACAGUGGCGAACUGGUGAGUAACACGUGAACAACCUGCCCUUACAUUCCGGAUAGCCGGCCGAAAGGCCGGAUAAUACGGGCGAGGAUCGCACCAAGGCAUCUUGGAGCGAAGGAAGGUGCAAACCGUGCAAGGAGGGGUUCGCGGACUAUCAGGUAGUUGGUGAGGUAACGGCUCACCAAGCCGACGACGGAUAGCUGGUCUGAGAGGAUGAUCAGCCACACUGGGACUGAGACACUGCCCAGACUCCUACGGGAGGCUGCAGUCGAGAAUCUUGGACAAUGUACGAAAGUAUGAUCCAGCGACGCCGCGUGGAGGAUGAAGGAGCUCUGCUUCGUAAACUCCUUUUAUGGGGGAAGAAGAUCUGACGGUACCCCAUGAAUAAGCCACGGCUAACUACGUGCCAGCAGCCGCGGUAAUACGUAGGUGGCAAGCGUUGUCCGGAAUUACUGGGCGUAAAGGGUGCGUAGGCGGAUAUUUAAGUAGAAAGUGAAAGGUUGGAGCUCAACUCCAACAUUGCUUCCUAUACUGGGUGUCUUGAGUUUCGGAGAGGAAGAUGGAACGACACGUGUAGCGGUGAAAUGCGUUGAUAUGUGUCGGAACACCAAUAGCGAAGGCAAUCUUCUGGACGAACACUGACGCUGAGGCACGAAAGCAUGGGUAGCGAACAGGAUUAGAUACCCUGGUAGUCCAUGCCCUAAACGAUGUUCACUAGGUGUCGGGGAUUUUUCUUCGGUGCCGCAGCUAACGCAUUAAGUGAACCGCCUGGGGACUACGACCGCAAGGUUGAAACUCAAAGGAAUUGGCGGGGGCCCGCACAAGCGGUGGAGCAUGUGGCUUAAUUCGAUGCAACGCGAAGAACCUUACCAGGGUUUGACAUGUAGCUGCAAGCUCCCGAAAAGGAGUCGCUUUCGAAGGUGCUACACAGGUGGUGCAUGGCUGUCGUCAGCUCGUGUUGUGAAAUGUUGGGUUAAGUCCCGCAACGAGCGCAACCCUCAUGUUCUGUUGCCAGCGAGUAAUGUCGGGAACUCGGAACAAACUGCCUCUGUAAAGAGGAGGAAGGUGGGGAUGACGUCAAGUCUUCAUGCCCCUUACACCCUGGGCUGCACACAUGCUACAAUGGCCGGUACAAUGAGCAGCGAUACCGCGAGGUGGAGCAAAUCUCAAAAAGCCGGUCUCAGUUCGGAUUGGAGUCUGCAACUCGACUCCAUGAAGUCGGAAUCGCUAGUAAACGCCGGUCAGCAACACGGCGUUGAAUACGUUCCCGGGCCUUGCACACACCGCCCGUCAAGCCACGAAAGUUGGUCUCUCCCGAAGUCGCCGAGCUAACCGCAAGGAGGCAGGCGCCGAAGGAGCGGUCGAUGAUUGGGACUAAGUCGUAACAAGGUAACC